Molecule: non-coding RNA, 87 nt
Organism: Fusarium verticillioides 7600
Lineage: Eukaryota; Fungi; Ascomycota; Sordariomycetes; Hypocreales; Nectriaceae
Source: the annotation of a RefSeq genome assembly
GGAGCGGUGGCUGGGUGGUUAAAGCAUGGUGAAGCGUCCGGCAGGCGUCGACACCAAAGUCCGCCGGUUCGACUCCGGCCCGUUCUG